GACGAACGCUGGCGGCGUGCUUAACACAUGCAAGUCGAACGGAAAGGCCCUGCUUUUGUGGGGUGCUCGAGUGGCGAACGGGUGAGUAACACGUGAGUAACCUGCCCUUGACUUUGGGAUAACUUCAGGAAACUGGGGCUAAUACCGGAUAGGAGCUCCUGCUGCAUGGUGGGGGUUGGAAAGUUUCGGCGGUUGGGGAUGGACUCGCGGCUUAUCAGCUUGUUGGUGGGGUAGUGGCUUACCAAGGCUUUGACGGGUAGCCGGCCUGAGAGGGUGACCGGCCACAUUGGGACUGAGAUACGGCCCAGACUCCUACGGGAGGCAGCAGUGGGGAAUAUUGCACAAUGGGCGGAAGCCUGAUGCAGCAACGCCGCGUGCGGGAUGACGGCCUUCGGGUUGUAAACCGCUUUCGCCUGUGACGAAGCGUGAGUGACGGUAAUGGGUAAAGAAGCACCGGCUAACUACGUGCCAGCAGCCGCGGUGAUACGUAGGGUGCGAGCGUUGUCCGGAUUUAUUGGGCGUAAAGGGCUCGUAGGUGGUUGAUCGCGUCGGAAGUGUAAUCUUGGGGCUUAACCCUGAGCGUGCUUUCGAUACGGGUUGACUUGAGGAAGGUAGGGGAGAAUGGAAUUCCUGGUGGAGCGGUGGAAUGCGCAGAUAUCAGGAGGAACACCAGUGGCGAAGGCGGUUCUCUGGGCCUUUCCUGACGCUGAGGAGCGAAAGCGUGGGGAGCGAACAGGCUUAGAUACCCUGGUAGUCCACGCUGUAAACGGUGGGUACUAGGUGUGGGGUCCAUUCCACGGGUUCCGUGCCGUAGCUAACGCUUUAAGUACCCCGCCUGGGGAGUACGGCCGCAAGGCUAAAACUCAAAGGAAUUGACGGGGCCCCGCACAAGCGGCGGAGCAUGCGGAUUAAUUCGAUGCAACGCGUAGAACCUUACCUGGGUUUGACAUGGAUCGGGAGUGCUCAGAGAUGGGUGUGCCUCUUUUGGGGUCGGUUCACAGGUGGUGCAUGGCUGUCGUCAGCUCGUGUCGUGAGAUGUUGGGUUAAGUCCCGCAACGAGCGCAACCCUUGUUCACUGUUGCCAGCACGUUAUGGUGGGGACUCAGUGGAGACCGCCGGGGUCAGCUCGGAGGAAGGUGGGGAUGACGUCAAGUCAUCAUGCCCCUUAUGUCCAGGGCUUCACGCAUGCUACAAUGGCUGGUACAGAGAGUGGCGAGCCUGUGAGGGUGAGCGAAUCUCGGAAAGCCGGUCUCAGUUCGGAUUGGGGUCUGCAACUCGACCUCAUGAAGUCGGAGUCGCUAGUAAUCGCAGAUCAGCAACGCUGCGGUGAAUACGUCCCCGGG
Molecule: ribosomal RNA, 1343 nt
Filed under: uncultured bacterium
Lineage: Bacteria
Description: 16S ribosomal RNA
Rfam family: Bacterial small subunit ribosomal RNA
Source: RNAcentral